AGAGCGAACGCUGGCGGCAGGCCUAACACAUGCAAGUCGAACGGACCCUUCGGGGUUAGUGGCGGACGGGUGAGUAACACGUGGGAACGUGCCUUUAGGUUCGGAAUAGCUCCUGGAAACGGGUGGUAAUGCCGAAUGUGCCCUUCGGGGGAAAGAUUUAUCGCCUUUAGAGCGGCCCGCGUCUGAUUAGCUUGUUGGUGAGGUAAUGGCUCACCAAGGCUACGAUCAGUAGCUGGUCUGAGAGGAUGACCAGCCACAUUGGACUGAGACACGGCCCAAACUCCUACGGGAGGCAGCAGUGGGGAAUCUUGCGCAAUGGGCGAAAGCCUGACGCAGCCAUGCCGCGUGUAUGAUGAAGGUCUUAGGAUUAGUAAAAUACUUUACACCGGUAGAAAGAUUAAUGACUA
This 407-nucleotide ribosomal RNA is filed under the name uncultured soil bacterium. Its description in RNAcentral is "bacterial SSU rRNA". It matches the Rfam family "Bacterial small subunit ribosomal RNA", at positions 26 to 461 of the family's 1533-position model. The record is from RNAcentral.